GAUGAACGCUGGCGGCGUGCCUAAUACAUGCAAGUCGAGCGAAUGGAUUAAGAGCUUGCUCUUAUGAAGUUAGCGGCGGACGGGUGAGUAACACGCGGGUAACCUGCCCAUAAGACUGGGAUAACUCCGGGAAAACGGGGCUAAUACCGGAUAACAUUUUGAACCGCAUGGUUCGAAAUUGAAAGGCGGCUUCGGCUGUCACUUAUGGAUGGACCCGCGUCGCAUUAGCUAGUUGGUGAGGUAACGGCUCACCAAGGCAACGAUGCGUAGCCGACCUGAGAGGGUGAUGGGCCACACUGGGACUGAGACACGGCCCAGACGCCUACGGGAGGCAGCAGUAGGGAAUCUUCCGCAAUGGACGAAAGUCUGGCGGAGCAACGCCGCGUGAGUGAUGAAGGCUUUCGGGUCGUAAAACUCUGUUGUUAGGGAAGAACAAGUGCUAGUUGAAUAAGCUGGCACCUUGACGGUACCUAACCAGAAAGCCACGGCUAACUACGUGCCAGCAGCCGCCGUAA
Molecule: ribosomal RNA, 515 nt
Filed under: uncultured bacterium
Lineage: Bacteria
Description: partial 16S ribosomal RNA
Rfam family: Bacterial small subunit ribosomal RNA
Source: RNAcentral